UUGCCAAUUAGAUAAGUUUGAACGACUCGGCUUCCUCAUAAAGUCAUAAUCUCCCUUUUUCUUCGUAAACAAAACCUCUCAUCACCUUCCUCUCAUCAAAUAAUUUCGCUCGGAUUGAAGAUGCGAAUGGAGUUUCAUUCAUCACCGCAACGAGCCCAUCGACCGGAAUUUUUGAAGGGAUAUCAAGAGUGUUCUUCAGUUCAACCCUAGGCAUAAGAGCAUUGAAAACUUGGAGUUAGAAAGACAAAUAUGUUUAAUGUAGAACUAUCCGCGCAUCUCUGUUGUAAAAACAAGCACACCGAAGCUUUGAAGAUGUGUGACGGUGGCAGGGUCAUGCAU
Arabidopsis lyrata subsp. lyrata is the source of this 339-nucleotide long non-coding RNA. RefSeq lists it as uncharacterized. The transcript has 3 exons. The record is from RefSeq and is a predicted model, not a curated record. NCBI's taxonomy places the organism in Eukaryota, Viridiplantae, Streptophyta, Magnoliopsida, Brassicales, Brassicaceae.